UGCAAGUCGAGCGGCAGCGGAAAGUAGCUUGCUACUUUGCCGGCGAGCGGCGGACGGGUGAGUAAUGUCUGGGAAACUGCCUGAUGGAGGGGGAUAACUACUGGAAACGGUAGCUAAUACCGCAUGACCUCGAAAGAGCAAAGUGGGGGAUCUUCGGACCUCACGCCAUCGGAUGUGCCCAGAUGGGAUUAGCUAGUAGGUGAGGUAAUGGCUCACCUAGGCGACGAUCCCUAGCUGGUCUGAGAGGAUGACCAGCCACACUGGAACUGAGACACGGUCCAGACUCCUACGGGAGGCAGCAGUGGGGAAUAUUGCACAAUGGGCGCAAGCCUGAUGCAGCCAUGCCGCGUGUGUGAAGAAGGCCUUAGGGUUGUAAAGCACUUUCAGCGAGGAGGAAGGCAUCACACUUAAUACGUGUGGUGAUUGACGUUACUCGCAGAAGAAGCACCGGCUAACUCCGUGCCAGCAGCCGCGGUAAUACGGAGGGUGCAAGCGUUAAUCGGAAUUACUGGGCGUAAAGCGCACGCAGGCGGUUUGUUAAGUCAGAUGUGAAAUCCCCGCGCUUAACGUGGGAACUGCAUUUGAAACUGGCAAGCUAGAGUCUUGUAGAGGGGGGUAGAAUUCCAGGUGUAGCGGUGAAAUGCGUAGAGAUCUGGAGGAAUACCGGUGGCGAAGGCGGCCCCCUGGACAAAGACUGACGCUCAGGUGCGAAAGCGUGGGGAGCAAACAGGAUUAKAUACCCUGGU
RNAcentral lists this ribosomal RNA (746 nucleotides) under Rahnella sp. ER-20. RNAcentral's name for it is "bacterial SSU rRNA". It matches the Rfam family "Bacterial small subunit ribosomal RNA", at positions 56 to 791 of the family's 1533-position model. Lineage: Bacteria; Pseudomonadati; Pseudomonadota; Gammaproteobacteria; Enterobacterales; Yersiniaceae. The record is from RNAcentral.